GAUGAACGCUGGCGGCGUGCCUAAUACAUGCAAGUCGAGCGAACGGACGAGAAGCUUGCUUUUCUGAUGUUAGCGGCGGACGGGUGAGUAACACGUGGAUAACCUACCUAUAAGACUGGGAUAACUUCGGGAAACCGGAGCUAAUACCGGAUAAUAUUUUGAACCGCAUGGUUCAUAAGUGAAAGACGGUCUUGCUGUCACUUAUAGAUGGAUCCGCGCUGCAUUAGCUAGUUGGUAAGGUAACGGCUUACCAAGGCAACGAUGCAUAGCCGACCUGAGAGGGUGAUCGGCCACACUGGAAGUGAGACACGGUCCAGACUCCUACGGGAGGCAGCAGUAGGGAAUAUUCCGCAAUGGGCGAAAGCAUGACGGAGCAACGCCGCGUGAGUGAUGAAGGUCUUCGGAUCGUAAAACUCUGUUAUUAGGGAAGAACAUAUGUGCAAGUAAAUGUGCACAUCUUGACGGUAACUAAUCAGAAAGCCACGGCUAACUACGUG
This 497-nucleotide ribosomal RNA is filed under the name uncultured bacterium. RNAcentral describes it as "partial 16S ribosomal RNA". It matches the Rfam family "Bacterial small subunit ribosomal RNA", at positions 28 to 507 of the family's 1533-position model. The record is from RNAcentral.